RNAcentral lists this long non-coding RNA (546 nucleotides) under Homo sapiens (human). RNAcentral's name for it is "non-protein coding lnc-CCDC82-3:3". Lineage: Eukaryota; Metazoa; Chordata; Mammalia; Primates; Hominidae. The record is from RNAcentral.
CUACUGUUAUGAAUUGCCACAACUUGGAGGCUUAGAACAACACAAAUUAGUACUCUCACAGUCCUGAAGGCUACAGCUCUGCAAUCAAGAUAUCAGCAAGGCCAUCAUUCCACUAAGGCUCUAAGGAAGAAUCCAUUUUUGCCUCUUCCUGCUUCUGGGAUGCAUCCACUUUAUUAGACGGCAAACUAGAAAAUGCUUCCUACAGUCGCCACAUAAAAAGGGUGGGGCAGUAGGAGACACUGAAUUCACAUAUCAUUGAAAACCAAAAUAUUAGAAGAGCUUAAGUUUUAAAGAAUGCUGGCAAAUGUUUAAGCGAUCAGCACUGCUGGUUUACUAUAAACAUAAUGGACUACACGUUGAGUACCUUGACAUAUGAGUAAAUUCAUAUAGUACAAAUCAUUCAACACACAUAUCUUGAGAACAAGUGAGAAGACAGCCAUCUGCAAACCAGAGAGAAAGUCCUCAUAAGGAACUGAAUCAAACUUCACCUUGAUCUUGGGCUUCCCAGCCUUUGCAACUGUGAGAAAUAAAUGUGUCUUUAUGCCA